GAUGAACGCUGGCGGCGUGCCUAAUACAUGCAAGUCGAGCGAACAGACGAGGAGCUUGCUCCUCUGACGUUAGCGGCGGACGGGUGAGUAACACGUGGAUAACCUACCUAUAAGACUGGGAUAACUUCGGGAAACCGGAGCUACUACCGGAUAAUAUAUUGAACCGCAUGGUUCAAUAGUGAAAGACGGUUUUGCUGUCACUUAUAGAUGGAUCCGCGCCGCAUUAGCUAGUUGGUAAGGUAACGGCUUACCAAGGCAACGAUGCGUAGCCGACCUGAGAGGGUGAUCGGCCACACUGGAACAGAGACACGGUCCAGACUCCUACGGGAGGCAGCAGUAGGGAAUCUUCCGCAAUGGGCGAAAGCCUGACGGAGCAACGCCGCGUGAGUGAUGAAGGUCUUCGGAUCGUAAAACUCUGUUAUUAGGGAAGAACAAAUGUGUAAGUAACUAUGCACGUCUUGACGGUACCUAAUCAGAAAGCCACGGCUAACUACGUG
RNAcentral lists this ribosomal RNA (497 nucleotides) under uncultured bacterium. RNAcentral describes it as "partial 16S ribosomal RNA". It matches the Rfam family "Bacterial small subunit ribosomal RNA", at positions 28 to 507 of the family's 1533-position model. The record is from RNAcentral.